RNAcentral lists this ribosomal RNA (253 nucleotides) under uncultured bacterium. RNAcentral describes it as "partial 16S ribosomal RNA". It matches the Rfam family "Bacterial small subunit ribosomal RNA", at positions 524 to 776 of the family's 1533-position model. The record is from RNAcentral.
UACGAAGGUGGCAAGCGUUACUCGGAAUUACUAGGCGUAAAGGGCAGGUAGGUGGUUUGAUAAGUCUGUUGUGAAAGCUUCCGGCUUAACUGGGAGAGGCCAACGGAAACUAUCAGGCUUGAGUGUGGGAGAGGGUACUGGAAUUCCCGGUGUAGCGGUGAAAUGCGCAGAGAUCGGGAGGAACACCAAUGGCGAAAGCAGGUACCUGGACCACUACUGACACUAAGCUGCGAAAGCUAGGGGAGCAAACAGG